ACUUAGAUCUUAGUCCUAUAUAUAUUAUUCUAUAGGGUGACCCCAAAGAAUCUAGGGGAUAUAACUUCUACCAUGCUAAAUAAUAAGAGUUAUUCGAUAUUUUUUUCAGAAAAAAAGUACCUUGAUGAAGGUACUGAUGCCUUUAAUAUGGAACUUAUGAAGUUCGAUAGGUAGAAGAACCGACACGAUCUAGUGAACCCAUAGAAUCAGAUUUGAUUAGAUCAAACUUAAAACCCAUUGUAAAAGCACCA
RNAcentral lists this long non-coding RNA (251 nucleotides) under Elaeis guineensis (African oil palm). Its description in RNAcentral is "long non-coding RNA (EGUI_LNC082552)". Lineage: Eukaryota; Viridiplantae; Streptophyta; Magnoliopsida; Arecales; Arecaceae. The record is from RNAcentral.